This 632-nucleotide long non-coding RNA is filed under the name Helianthus annuus (common sunflower). The record is from RNAcentral. Lineage: Eukaryota; Viridiplantae; Streptophyta; Magnoliopsida; Asterales; Asteraceae.
GGGGAACUGGGGAACAGGGGUAUUUUUGUCCAAGUAUAAUCUACAAUGUAUUCUCCAAAAUCUCUCCGCUCCAUUUCCUCUUGACUGCUCCUUCUCCGGCGUCGUCUUCAACUACAACCGUCGUCAAUUCUCACCACCACCACCACCCCCAUCGCUCAUCGAUUCUCACACUAUGUAGCAAUUGAGCUGGAAGAUCAGCAUCCAUGGCGGCUUCUUCAGAUCGCGGAAACUUCAUCUAUCUCGCCAAACUCGUUGAACGCCACGACAGAAACUCUUAAGACAAAAAUUGUAGCGAUGAACUGAAGAUGGGAUGGAUGGAAGCUUAGGCAAGAAGCGAAUCAGCGAAUUAUGCCGAUUAUUCAGGAGAAAGUUUGGACUCAUGGUCGGAAACAUGUUUGAGGUUGGAAGCAGAUGUAGGGUUGAGUUUUAUUGUGAAAAUGUACACAUAUUGAGGUUAAAUCUUGAUCUUUUUAUUCUUGUUCCUGCAUUUUUUUAUUUUGUUAUUAUAAAGACCCAAAAAAUCCAUUUUUUAGUGUUUGUAUAAACAGAUUAUGAUCAUCACUCUCCAUUUUUAGUGUUUGUAUAAACUGACAAAAAAAUAUAUUUUUGUAAUUUUUUAAUCUUUUUUGUAA